UGAAAACUCUUUCCGUAUAGGCCAGAAAACAGCUUGCUUAGAGAAAGACUGACUCUCCUACGGACCUGGUGGACCUUACACAGUCGAGUUAUUGCAUCCCUCUCACAAACUAUCAAUUUCAUAAGAGAAGAAAGAUCGUUUUUAGAAAAGAAAGAACGUUUUGAUUCGAGGCGGAUCCCUUUUUUCUUUGCCUUUACGAGUUGAAAAGAAAGUGGUAACAGGUAGUAGCUCUGGUAGAGUGCAGGACUGUAAAUCCUUCUGUGAGCGGUUCGAAUCCGCAAUCACUUAUAGUUAGUUUCAUCGAUAUUUUUGUGGUGUUCAGUGUACCCUGAGUACAAGAUCGAAGAGGAUCCUCAUUCCCUCUUUAGUCAAUCCCAAUCGAAAAAUCAGCGGAGCCAAUGGCUUGAUCAUAAUGCUGCGGCGGGGUCAGAGAGCCGGCAAACCGUUUCUGGUUCUAGUAGAAAGGGAUUUACUGAUUCGGGUUGAGGAUGACGAGCAAAAGAGUGGAGGAAAAGCUGUUAUAUAGUUAGUCUAUUUCUAUCUUCCUAUCUUUGUCAUGUCAGUCUUAUUCCUAUCUUGGUAU
This 583-nucleotide small RNA is filed under the name Arabidopsis thaliana (thale cress). RNAcentral's name for it is "ATSL088180". Lineage: Eukaryota; Viridiplantae; Streptophyta; Magnoliopsida; Brassicales; Brassicaceae. The record is from RNAcentral.